AGUUUCUCUGAUGCUUUCCUGGAACUGGUAAGAGAAAAGAAACCAGAAAAUUUGGGUACUGCUUUUAGUGUUGGACCUGCUGGAGGCUGGAAAUGAUGGUGCUGGUGGAAGAGCACAUUUGGGGAGCAGAGUUAAGCUUGUUGUGACUGUUUCCCUACGAACCAUAGGCAUGCUGACUGUGAGGUGGCUGGGCAAACCUGCAGUAAGAGCUCUGCUUGGCCUGACUUAAAUAAAAAAGCUGGGAGGAUGAACUCAAGUCUUCUGCACUGUACCCCAAUACUGAGCUACUGUGAAAUGAUGCCAUGCAAAACUUUGUUUCCUUCUCCUAUGGGAGAAAAGUAUCAUUCCAAGCCUUGAGAGCUGGCAUAGAAUAAAACAGCUGGUGGAUGCUUUGCUGGUGAUGGA
RNAcentral lists this long non-coding RNA (405 nucleotides) under Coturnix japonica (Japanese quail). Its description in RNAcentral is "lncRNA (ENSCJPG00005000413.1)". The record is from RNAcentral. Lineage: Eukaryota; Metazoa; Chordata; Aves; Galliformes; Phasianidae.